RNAcentral lists this ribosomal RNA (357 nucleotides) under uncultured bacterium. RNAcentral's name for it is "bacterial SSU rRNA". It matches the Rfam family "Bacterial small subunit ribosomal RNA", at positions 527 to 881 of the family's 1533-position model. The record is from RNAcentral.
GGAGGGUGCAAGCGUUAAUCGGAAUUACUGGGCGUAAAGCGCACGCAGGCGGUUUGUUAAGUCAGAUGUGAAAUCCCCGGGCUCAACCUGGGAAUUGCAUCUGAUACUGGCAAGCUUGAGUCUCGUAGAGGGGGGUAGAAUUCCAGGUGUAGCGGUGAAAUGCGUAGAGAUCUGGAGGAAUACCGGUGGCGAAGGCGGCCCCCUGGACGAAGACUGACGCUCAGGUGCGAAAGCGUGGGGAGCGAACAGGAUUAGAUACCCUGGUAGUCCACGCCGUAAACGGUGGAUGCUGGAUGUGGGGACCAUUCCACGGUCUCCGUGUCGGAGCCAACGCGUUAAGCAUCCCGCCUGGGGAGU